UAUAUAUAUAUAAAAAAAAAUAGUCUUCUUCCUCAGAAUUUCAAACAAGGUGUGGAAAAUCCUGGUUAAGAGGAGUUAAAUCCAGCAGGUAAAGAUAUUUAAGAGUCUGCUCAGAAAAUCCAGUUUAAUCCAACGGCACCACAAUGAUGUGAUCCGGAUCUUAUGAUGAUGAUGGGUAGCGGGGCAACCACACCAAAAGUGUGGGGCUAUCGGCUGGGGGGUUCUCACCUAGGGAGCUUCCUAACCCGGCAGCUCUCCCCUGUGACGGCAGGAUGAGCCUAUGGGUCCUUCGGGAUCGGUCCUAUGGACGAGCCCAACGUGCACCGCUCAUGAUGGCCGUUUACAUUAUAGUGCUGAGAGGCGAAGUGCCAGUAGGCCUUUUGGUGGUCAAGGACCCCCAAAUCUGGCCUUUUGAGUGGGAGUCAUCGACUUAUUGUGUUAUAGUAUAGCCGGGUAGCAGUCAGAUAAUAGCAGUUAGCAGCUUGGGGAUUUUGUCAUUACCAGGGACCGUAGAGCGACUAGUCUCGAUGUAGUACAACUUGUAUUUUUUUUUUUUUGUAGCUGUACAUCAUACAUUCUUAUAUGUAUCUGGGAGGAUUAUUAACAACUUUGGUUGUUGAUUUUUGGUGUAUGUUUCCUCCCUUUUGUUAGAAAAAAAAAUGUAAUGAAACAAUAGUCCCCAGUAAUAAACAUAUAUUUUGA
Alnus glutinosa is the source of this 702-nucleotide long non-coding RNA. RefSeq lists it as uncharacterized. NCBI's taxonomy places the organism in Eukaryota, Viridiplantae, Streptophyta, Magnoliopsida, Fagales, Betulaceae. The record is from RefSeq and is a predicted model, not a curated record. The transcript is spliced from 4 exons.